GCAGGGGUCGCAUAGUCUGGUCAAUUGCACGAGGCCUAGGACCUCGCGGGUUAGUCCCUACGGGAGUUCAAAUCUCUCCCCCUGCA
This 86-nucleotide transfer RNA is filed under the name Candidatus Aenigmatarchaeota archaeon. RNAcentral describes it as "tRNA-Leu". It matches the Rfam family "tRNA". Rfam says of the family: Transfer RNA (tRNA) molecules are approximately 80 nucleotides in length. Their secondary structure includes four short double-helical elements and three loops (D, anti-codon, and T loops). The record is from RNAcentral. Lineage: Archaea; Nanobdellati; Candidatus Aenigmatarchaeota.